GAUCAUGGCUCAGAACGAACGCUGGUGGCAGGCUUAACACAUGCAAGUUGAGCGGGAUUUGUAUGGUGCUUGCACCAUGUAAUGAGAGUAGCGCACUGGUGAGUAACACGUGGGAACAUACCUUGAAGUGGGGGACAACAGUUGGAAACGACUGCUAAUACCGCAUAAUCCCUGAGGGGGAAAGAUUUAUCGCUUUAAGAUUGGCCCGCGGAAGAUUAGGUAGUUGGUGGGGUAAAGGCCUACCAAG
This 247-nucleotide ribosomal RNA is filed under the name uncultured bacterium. RNAcentral's name for it is "partial 16S ribosomal RNA". It matches the Rfam family "Bacterial small subunit ribosomal RNA", at positions 15 to 272 of the family's 1533-position model. The record is from RNAcentral.